This 497-nucleotide ribosomal RNA is filed under the name uncultured bacterium. Its description in RNAcentral is "partial 16S ribosomal RNA". It matches the Rfam family "Bacterial small subunit ribosomal RNA", at positions 28 to 507 of the family's 1533-position model. The record is from RNAcentral.
GAUGAACGCUGGCGGCGUGCCUAAUACAUGCAAGUCGAGCGAACAGAUGAGGAGCUUGCUCCUCUGACGUUAGCGGCGGACGGGUGAGUAACACGUGGAUAACCUACCUAUAAGACUGGGAUAACUUCGGGAAACCGGAGCUAAUACCGGAUAAUAUAUUGAACCGCAUGGUUCAAUAGUGAAAGACGGUUUUGCUGUCACUUAUAGAUGGAUCCGCGCCGCAUUAGCUAGUUGGUAAGGUAACGGCUUACCAAGGCAACGAUGCGUAGCCGACCUGAGAGGGCGAUCGGCCACACUGGAACUGAGACACGGUCCAGACUCCUACGGGAGGCAGCAGUAGGGAAUCUUCCGCAAUGGGCGAAAGCCUGACGGAGCAACGCCGCGUGAGUGAUGAAGGUCUUCGGAUCGUAAAACUCUGUUAUUAGGGAAGGACAAAUGUGUAAGUAACUAUGCACGUCUUGACGGUACCUAAUCAGAAAGCCACGGCUAACUACGUG